AAUCAACGCUGGCGGCGCGCUUAACACAUGCAAGUCGAACGAGAAAGGGGAGCAAUCCCUGAGUACAGUGGCGUACGGGUGAGUAACACGUGGAUGAUCUAUCUCUUAGUGGGGAAUAACUCUGGGAAACCGGAGAUAAUACCGCAUAAGCUCGAGAGAGGAAAGCAGCAAUGCGCUGAGAGAGGAGUCCGCGGCCGAUUAGCUAGUUGGCAGGGUAAAAGCCACCAAGGCAGAGAUCGGUAGCCGGCCUGAGAGGGCACACGGCCACACUGGCACUGAAACACGGGCCAGACUCCUACGGGAGGCAGCAGUGGGGAAUCUUGCACAAUGGGGGAAACCCUGAUGCAGCGACGCCGCGUGAGCGAUGAAGCCCUUCGGGGUGUAAAGCUCUUUCGGCAGGGAAGAUAAUGACGGUACCUGCAGAAGCAGCUGCGGCUAACUACGUGCCAGCCGCCG
RNAcentral lists this ribosomal RNA (456 nucleotides) under uncultured bacterium. RNAcentral's name for it is "bacterial SSU rRNA". It matches the Rfam family "Bacterial small subunit ribosomal RNA", at positions 32 to 517 of the family's 1533-position model. The record is from RNAcentral.